This 23-nucleotide non-coding RNA is filed under the name Mus musculus (house mouse). The record is from RNAcentral. Lineage: Eukaryota; Metazoa; Chordata; Mammalia; Rodentia; Muridae. RNAcentral also lists the same sequence under 1 other name.
UGAGAUGCAGUUGUGCCUGAUAG